UUUCUUGUAACAAGGUGUUAGCGCAUAUUGUAUUUUGGUUACAAAGGAGAUUAGAUUUCUGUUACUU
This 67-nucleotide transfer RNA is filed under the name Enterogyrus malmbergi. RNAcentral describes it as "tRNA-Gln". The record is from RNAcentral. Lineage: Eukaryota; Metazoa; Platyhelminthes; Monogenea; Dactylogyridea; Ancyrocephalidae.